UACGUAGGUGACAAGCGUUGUCCGGAUUUACUGGGCGUAAAGAGCGCGCAGGCGGUCGUUCAAGUCGAGUGUGAAAGCCCCCGGCUCAACUGGGGAGGGUCAUUCGAUACUGAUCGACUCGAAGGCAGGAGAGGGAAGUGGAAUUCCCGGUGUAGUGGUGAAAUGCGUAGAUAUCGGGAGGAACACCAGUGGCGAAGGCGGCGAUCUGGGAAGAUACUGACGCUGAGGUGCGAAAGCGUGGGGAGCAAACAGG
RNAcentral lists this ribosomal RNA (253 nucleotides) under uncultured bacterium. RNAcentral describes it as "partial 16S ribosomal RNA". It matches the Rfam family "Bacterial small subunit ribosomal RNA", at positions 524 to 776 of the family's 1533-position model. The record is from RNAcentral.